AAUGAACGCUGGCGGCGUGCUUAACACAUGCAAGUCGUGCGCGAAAGUGACUUCGGUCGCGAGUAGAGCGGCGAACGGGUGAGUAACACGUGGAUAACCUGCCUCGGAGCGGGGGAUAACUUGGGGAAACCUGAGCUAAUACCGCAUGACCUCGCGCCAUUUCGGUGGUGCGAGAAAAGAUGGCCUCUGCUUGCAAGCUAUCGCUCCUAGAGGGGUCCGCGGCUGAUUAGCUAGUUGGUGAGGUAAUGGCUCACCAAGGCGACGAUCAGUAGCCGGCCUGAGAGGGUGAUCGGCCACACUGGAACUGAGACACGGUCCAGACUCCUACGGGAGGCAGCAGUGGGGAAUAUUGGACAAUGGGCGCAAGCCUGAUCCAGCAACGCCGCGUGGAGGAUGAAGGCCUUCGGGUUGUAAACUCCUGUCAGGUGGAACGAACGAGUCUUGGCUAACAUCCAAGGCUCUUGACGGUACUACCAGAGGAAGCCCCGGCUAACUCCGUGCCAGCAGCCGCGGUAAUACGGAGGGGGCGAGCGUUAUUCGGAAUCAUUGGGCGUAAGGGCGCGUAGGCGGCCAGGCAAGUCAGGGGUGAAAUCCCUCGGCUCAACCGAGGAAUUGCCUCUGAAACUG
Molecule: ribosomal RNA, 627 nt
Filed under: uncultured bacterium
Lineage: Bacteria
Description: bacterial SSU rRNA
Rfam family: Bacterial small subunit ribosomal RNA
Source: RNAcentral